CGGGGUGAGUAAUGCUUGGGAAUCUAGCUUAUGAGGGGGAGUAACUACGGGAAACUGUAGCUAAUACCGCGUAGUAUCGGAAGAUGAAAGUGUGGGACCUUCGGGCCACAUGCCAUAGGAUGAGCCCAAGUGGGAUUAGGUAGUUGGUGAGGUAAAGGCUCACCAAGCCGACGAUCUCUAGCUGGUCUGAGAGGAUGACCAGCCACACUGGGACUGAGACACGGCCCAG
RNAcentral lists this ribosomal RNA (229 nucleotides) under uncultured bacterium. RNAcentral's name for it is "partial 16S ribosomal RNA". It matches the Rfam family "Bacterial small subunit ribosomal RNA", at positions 104 to 334 of the family's 1533-position model. The record is from RNAcentral.